CAAGUCGUGCGCGAAGGUGGCUUCGGCCACUGGAGAGCGGCGAACGGGUGAGUAACACGUGGGUAAUCUGCCUGGGAGCGGGGGAUAACCUGGGGAAACUCGGGCUAAUACCGCAUACGUUGUCGGGGCUUUGGUUUCGACAAGAAAGCUGGCCUCUAUUUAUAAGCUAGCGCUCCUGGAGGAGCCCGCGGCUGAUUAGCUAGUUGGUGAGGUAAAAGCUCACCAAGGCGACGAUCAGUAGCCGGCCUGAGAGGGUGAUCGGCCACACUGGGACUGAGACACGGCCCAGACUCCUACGGGAGGCAGCAGUGGGGAAUAUUGGACAAUGGGCGCAAGCCUGAUCCAGCAACGCCGCGUGGAGGAUGAAGGUCUUCGGAUCGUAAACUCCUGUCAGACGGGACGAAGGUAGCGGGGUGAACAAUCCCGCUGCUUGACGGUACUGUCAGAGGAAGCCCCGGCUAACUCCGUGCCAGCAGCCGCGGUAAUACGGAGGGGGCGAGCGUUAUUCGGAAUUAUUGGGCGUAAAGGGCGCGUAGGCGGCUUGACAAGUCAAAGGUGAAAUCCCUCGGCUCAACUGAGGAACUGCCUUUGAAACUGUCUGGCUUGAGGCCGGGAGGGGGUAGCGGAAUUCCCAGUGUAGCGGUGAAAUGCGUAGAUACUGGGAGGAACACCAGUGGCGAAGGCGGCUACCUGGACCGGUUCUGACGCUGAGGCGCGAAAGCGUGGGUAGCAAACAGGAUUAGAUACCCUGGUAGUCCACGCUGUAAACGAUGGGUGCUCGGUGUCGCGGGUAUCGACCCCUGCGGUGCCUUAGCUAACGCGUUAAGCACCCCGCCUGGGGAGUACGGUCCCAAGGCUGAAACUCAAAGGAAUUGACU
Molecule: ribosomal RNA, 878 nt
Filed under: uncultured Bacillota bacterium
Lineage: Bacteria; Bacillati; Bacillota
Description: bacterial SSU rRNA
Rfam family: Bacterial small subunit ribosomal RNA
Source: RNAcentral